GACGAACGCUGGCGGCGUGCCUAAUACAUGCAAGUAGAACGCUGAAGGAGGAGCUUGCUUCUCCGGAUGAGUUGCGAACGGGUGAGUAACGCGUAGGUAACCUGCCUGGUAGCGGGGGAUAACUAUUGGAAACGAUAGCUAAUACCGCAUAAGAGUAGAUGUUGCUUGACAUUUGCUUAAAAGGUGCAAUUGCAUCACUACCAGAUGGACCUGCGUUGUAUUAGCUAGUUGGUGGGGUAACGGCUUACCAAGGCGACGAUACAUAGCCGACCUGAGAGGGUGAUCGGCCACACUGGGACUGAGACACGGCCCAGACUCCUACGGGAGGCAGCAGUAGGGAAUCUUCGGCAAUGGACGGAAGUCUGACCGAGCAACGCCGCGUGAGUGAAGAAGGUUUUCGGAUCGUAAAGCUCUGUUGUAAGAGAAGAACGAGUGUGAGAGUGGAAAGUUCACACUGUGACGGUAUCUUACCAGAAAGGGACGGCUAACUACGUG
Molecule: ribosomal RNA, 495 nt
Filed under: uncultured bacterium
Lineage: Bacteria
Description: partial 16S ribosomal RNA
Rfam family: Bacterial small subunit ribosomal RNA
Source: RNAcentral